GAUGAAGAACGCAGUGAAAUGCGAUACUUGGUGUGAAUUGCAGAAUCCCGUGAACCAUCGAGUCUUUGAACGCAAGUUGCGCCCGAAGCCAUUAGGCCGAGGGCACGCCUGCCUGGGCGUCACACGUCGUUGCCCCCCCAUCUACUCCUUCGGGAUUGCGGGGGGCGGAUGAUGGCCUCCCGUGCGCCUCGUCGCGCGGUUGGCAUAAAUGCCAAGUCCUCGGCGACGCACGCCACGACAAUCGGUGGUUGCGAAACCUCGGUUGCCCGUCGUGUGCGGUCGUCGCGCAUCGAGGGCUCGAAAAAAUUGUCGGGCUCCGGCUCGGCUUUCAACGCGACCCCAGGUCAGGCGGGGUUACCCGCUGAGUUUAAGCAUAUCAAUAAGCGGAGGA
RNAcentral lists this unclassified non-coding RNA (391 nucleotides) under soil metagenome. RNAcentral describes it as "partial contains 5.8S ribosomal RNA, internal transcribed spacer 2, and large subunit ribosomal RNA". The stretch from base 1 to 122 matches the Rfam family "5.8S ribosomal RNA", at positions 35 to 154 of the family's 154-position model. The record is from RNAcentral.